CCUGAUGGCUCAGUUGGUAAAGCAUUUGCCUACAAUGUGGAAGACCUGGGUUCAAUCCCAGGGUCAGGA
RNAcentral lists this transfer RNA (69 nucleotides) under Capra hircus (goat). It matches the Rfam family "tRNA". Rfam says of the family: Transfer RNA (tRNA) molecules are approximately 80 nucleotides in length. Their secondary structure includes four short double-helical elements and three loops (D, anti-codon, and T loops). The record is from Rfam by way of RNAcentral. Lineage: Eukaryota; Metazoa; Chordata; Mammalia; Artiodactyla; Bovidae. RNAcentral also lists the same sequence under 1 other name.